CUUAGAGAUUGAGUGUGUCCACAGAUGUUUGUUGAACACAGUGGGCUGGUGGGAUAUGGAGCUUGAGCCAUCAGAGGUAAAAAGAGGUUCAACAUUCUGAGAUUACAGUGAAGAAGAGGCCGUGCUGGGAAUGGCCUCAACCCCUAGAGUCAAGGAUGCAUGAAAACAAAAUGGAUGAUGAGGAUUUGCUGGAAAUCCACCAGGUGGCACAAGAAAUUGCAGUGUGAAUAAAGUGGAAGGGGUUGGUAAAGGCAACAAAUCAGAGCUGGUAUGGCCUUCCAGUAGAGUUUGCAUGUUAAAAACAAGAACUGAAGAAAAAAAAAAGCGACUAGGAAGGAAGAAUCUUUCAUGGUAGUUUUCAA
Molecule: long non-coding RNA, 362 nt
Filed under: Fukomys damarensis (Damara mole-rat)
Lineage: Eukaryota; Metazoa; Chordata; Mammalia; Rodentia; Bathyergidae
Description: lncRNA (ENSFDAG00000022567.1)
Source: RNAcentral